UGGGGAAUUUUGGACAAUGGGCGAAAGCCUGAUCCAGCAAUGCCGCGUGUGUGAAGAAGGCCUUCGGGUUGUAAAGCACUUUUGUCCGGAAAGAAAUCCUUGGCUCUAAUACAGUCGGGGGAUGACGGUACCGGAAGAAUAAGCACCGGCUAACUACGUGCCAGCAGCCGCGGUAAUACGUAGGGUGCAAGCGUUAAUCGGAAUUACUGGGCGUAAAGCGUGCGCAGGCGGUUUGCUAAGACCGAUGUGAAAUCCCCGGGCUCAACCUGGGAACUGCAUUGGUGACUGGCAGGCUAGAGUAUGGCAGAGGGGGGUAGAAUUCCACGUGUAGCAGUGAAAUGCGUAGAGAUGUGGAGGAAUACCGAUGGCGAAGGCAGCCCCCUGGGCCAAUACUGACGCUCAUGCACGAAAGCGUGGGGAGCAAACAGGAUUAGAUACCCUGGUAGUCCACGCCCUAAACGAUGUCAACUAGUUGUUGGGGGAUUCAUUUCCUUAGUAACGUAGCUAACGCGUGAAGUUGACCGCCUGGGGAGUACGGUCGCAAGAUUAAAACUCAAAGGAAUUGACGGGGU
RNAcentral lists this ribosomal RNA (572 nucleotides) under uncultured bacterium. Its description in RNAcentral is "partial 16S ribosomal RNA". It matches the Rfam family "Bacterial small subunit ribosomal RNA", at positions 355 to 919 of the family's 1533-position model. The record is from RNAcentral.